This 318-nucleotide ribosomal RNA is filed under the name Triticum aestivum (bread wheat). RNAcentral's name for it is "partial small subunit ribosomal RNA". Lineage: Eukaryota; Viridiplantae; Streptophyta; Magnoliopsida; Poales; Poaceae. The record is from RNAcentral.
AUGGACCUCAAAGCUGGGUUUCACCAGAUCAGGCUAGCCCCUGGAGAAGAGUACAAAACUGCAUUUCAAACACACCAUGGCCACUUUGAGUUUCUAGUAGUUGCCAUGGGUUUGACAGGAGCUCCAGCAACAUUUCAAGGGGCCAUCAAUUUUGAUCGGUCUCCCCUUCUCAGGAAGUGUGUGCUAUGUUUCUUUGAUGAUAUCUUAGUUUUCAGCAAAACAUUUGAAGAGCAUUUGGAACAUGUUGCACAGGUUCUGACAAUUCCGAAAGAAAAAGAAUGGAAAGUUAAAAUGUCCAAAUGUGCAUUUGCUCAACAG